RNAcentral lists this long non-coding RNA (1935 nucleotides) under Mytilus galloprovincialis (Mediterranean mussel). The record is from RNAcentral. Lineage: Eukaryota; Metazoa; Mollusca; Bivalvia; Mytilida; Mytilidae.
ACUUAAACAAUCAAAUUAUGAUAACUUGGGCGUCUUACUUUAUUUUAUAUAUUAAGUCAUAACAUUUUGAUAUAACCUUUUGACUUAACCACUUAAAGACCCCAAGUGGCUUUCCAUAAUAGUGUUUGAAAUCUAAUACAAUAUACAAAUAUUUUGUAGGCUCAUUCCAGUGCCUGGCCAUUCUUAAAACCUGUGGAGAAAAAUGAAGCCCCAGACUAUUAUGAACACAUAAAAUUCCCAAUGGGUAAGUUACACUUAGGUAGAUAUUGACUUAACUGAUGCAUUUAGUCUGUCAGGUAUAUUUUUUUAUUACAUUAUAAUUUGUAAAGGAUGUUAGACAUUUCUAUGAGUGCUGUCCUAUUUCUCUUGAUAUAAGUGCCUCUUUAGGUGAUAAUAAAUUGCCAUCUAAUGGGAACAAAUUUGUGUUUUAAUGCAGAGCUAAGAAAUAAUAUGAUUUUAGAAAGGGGAAAAGUUUAAAGUUUUUUUAUAUAUAUUGUUUUAACUGUUAAAGAUGAUUAUUAAUGAUAACUAAAUAAAGAAUUAUUAUCAUUCAGUAUUAUGUUCUUAGAACGCUUACUCGCUGUUACAUUAAUAGAUGUGGUAUGAGUGCCAAUGAGACAACUCUCCAUUCAAGUCACAAUUUGUAAAAGUUAACCAUUUUAGGUCAAAUACGGCCCUCAACAUGGAGCCUUGGCUCACACUGAUUAGCAAAUUAUAUAGGUCCCCAAAAGUGACUAGUGUAAAACAGGAAAACCAAUGGUCUAAUAUAUAUUAAAAUCUAGACACAAGAAACACCUAUGAACCAUAUUAGUAAUGACAACCACUGAACCGAGUUUGUAAUUAAAUGAGCAACAUGAUGGGUACCACAUGUGGAGUAGGAUCUGCUUACCCUUCCAGAGCACCUGAGAUAACCCCCCGUUUUUGGGGGUUAGUGUUGCUUAGUUUAGAUUUCGAUAUUGUGUUUUUUUUACUAUUUUUUGUCUGUUUGUCUUUCUAUUUUUUAGCCAUGGUGUUUUCAGUUUAUUUUCGAUCUAUGAGUUUGCUGUCCCUCUGGUAUCUUUUGCCACUCUUUCCUGACUUAAGACAGGCCCAUACAAAUGCAGCAGGUUUAAAUGUUUUAACAUGCACCAACCUUGACCCUAAUCUGAAAUGAUAGUGUAACUUAACAUAGAAAGACACACUUAAAUAUCAGUUGAAGUGGCUUAACUUAAUCAAAAGACAUAUUAACAAAAACAAGCAAAAAACACACUGAACAAAUAAGUUUUAUCUAUGACACAAUGUAUAUAAUAAUACUUGUUUAUUGUACUCAAUUUUUGUUUUCUAUACCGUUAAUCUAUAACAAAAAGUAUUGAAACAUUCUAUAUUUAUUUUUAGAUUUGAAAACCAUGGGAGAUAGAAUAAAGAAUCGGUACUAUUGUCAUAAGAAAUUAUUCAUGGCAGAUAUGAACAGAAUUUUUACUAACUGUCGAUCUUACAAUAAACCGGAUACAGAGUAUUAUAAGUGUGCCAAUGUUACAGAAAAAUUCUUCCAAACAAAAUGGAAAGAUGCUGGAUUAGGAGAGAAAACAUGAAAAAAUUUAAGAAAUUUAGUUGAUGGAAAAACACAAGAUUUUUUAUAAAAUCAAGUCAUUUCUGAUGUGAACAUGGUCAUCUGAUUUGAAAACAAGGAAGUAAAUUGUAGAAAACUAAUUAAAUGAUAUUUCUAUGUUCCUGUUAGUUUAUACCAGUCUCAAACAAUGAUACAAAAGGACAAUGAUCAUGAGUAUUUUUCUGAAUGUUUCUGUUAGUAUAUAUCAUAAUCAGUCUCAAACAAUGAUACGGAAGGACAAUGAUCUGUUUUACUGGAUCUGCAAUAAAGGAUGUUAAUGUUAUUGAUGAUAAUGUAAAAUGAUGUUAUGUUACUGUAUAAACAUGUCAAAUAAAGAAAAAAGCCUA